UUGAAUCUGAAACGUUUUUCAGAUUUACUUGAGAUUGUUUUCGUUUUCAUUAGCGUCCAUCUUCUGUUUGAUUUCGUUGAAGUGCAAUUCAUCAUUUGCGAGCGCGAUGGUUCUUGAAUCGGUAGAGAUUCUCAAUUACUUCUUCGCCGACACUGCAAAAGUUCAUCGCAAAAAGAAAAAUUGAAAUCCGAGGAAUCGGAGACAUAGGUAAUUGAAAUUUAAUUGUUAAGAGUCCAUUGUUUGUUACUCUCUGAUGUGCACAAUCUGUUGAACAGAGAUCGGUGAAACAAAUUUUUUGAUUUCUGAUUGGUGAACUUGACGUGAAACCAACACGCAACCUUCUGAUUGGUGAAUUUGUCUUGUUCGAACGUAAUAUUGAAACGGAGAAAGGUGCAGUGAAAUUCCAGUGGCAAUUCAUCCUGAGACAUUAAGCGGUGAUUGUAGCUGAAGCAAUAACAAGGGAAUCGGCCCUAAUUC
This 477-nucleotide long non-coding RNA is filed under the name Phaseolus vulgaris (common bean). Its description in RNAcentral is "long non-coding RNA (PVUL_LNC004960)". The record is from RNAcentral. Lineage: Eukaryota; Viridiplantae; Streptophyta; Magnoliopsida; Fabales; Fabaceae.